CAUCAUGAUUUACAUUUGAGUGAGUGGCGAACUGGUGAGUAACACGUGGGAAACCUGCCCAGAAGCGGGGGAUAACACCUGGAAACAGAUGCUAAUACCGCAUAACAACUUGGACCGCAUGGUCCGAGCUUGAAAGAUGGCUUCGGCUAUCACUUUUGGAUGGUCCCGCGGCGUAUUAGCUAGAUGGUGGGGUAACGGCUCACCAUGGCAAUGAUACGUAGCCGACCUGAGAGGGUAAUCGGCCACAUUGGGACUGAGACACGGCCCAAACUCCUACGGGAGGCAGCAGUAGGGAAUCUUCCACAAUGGACGAAAGUCUGAUGGAGCAACGCCGCGUGAGUGAAGAAGGGUUUCGGCUCGUAAAACUCUGUUGUUAAAGAAGAACAUAUCUGAGAGUAACUGUUCAGGUAUUGACGGUAUUUAACCAGAAAGCCACGGCUAACUACGUGCCAGCAGCCGCGGUAAUACGUAGGUGGCAAGCGUUGUCCGGAUUUAUUGGGCGUAAAGCGAGCGCAGGCGGUUUUUUAAGUCUGAUGUGAAAGCCUUUCGGCUCAACCGAAGAAGUGCAUCGGAAACUGGGAAACUUGAGUGCAGAAGAGGACAGUGGAACUCCAUGUGUAGCGGUGAAAUGCGUAGAUAUAUGGAAGAACACCAGUGGCGAAGGCGGCUGUCUGGUCUGUAACUGACGCUGAGGCUCGAAAGUAUGGGUAGCAAACAGGAUUAGAUACCCUGGUAGUCCAUACCGUAAACGAUGAAUGCUAAGUGUUGGAGGGUUUCCGCCCUUCAGUGCUGCAGCUAACGCAUUAAGCAUUCCGCCUGGGGAGUACGGCCGCAAGGCUGAAACUCAAAGGAAUUGACGGGGGCCCGCACAAGCGGUGGAGCAUGUGGUUUAAUUCGAAGCUACGCGAAGAACCUUACCAGGUCUUGACAUACUAUGCAAAUCUAAGAGAUUAGACGUUCCCUUCGGGGACAUGGAUACAGGUGGUGCAUGGUUGUCGUCAGCUCGUGUCGUGAGAUGUUGGGUUAAGUCCCGCAACGAGCGCAACCCUUAUUAUCAGUUGCCAGCAUUAAGUUGGGCACUCUGGUGAGACUGCCGGUGACAAACCGGAGGAAGGUGGGGAUGACGUCAAAUCAUCAUGCCCCUUAUGACCUGGGCUACACACGUGCUACAAUGGAUGGUACAACGAGUUGCGAACUCGCGAGAGUAAGCUAAUCUCUUAAAGCCAUUCUCAGUUCGGAUUGUAGGCUGCAACUCGCCUACAUGAAGUCGGAAUCGCUAGUAAUCGCGGAUCAGCAUGCCGCGGUGAAUACGUUCCCGGGCCUUGUACACACCGCCCGUCACACCAUGAGAGUUUGUAACAC
Molecule: ribosomal RNA, 1362 nt
Filed under: Lactiplantibacillus plantarum
Lineage: Bacteria; Bacillati; Bacillota; Bacilli; Lactobacillales; Lactobacillaceae
Description: bacterial SSU rRNA
Rfam family: Bacterial small subunit ribosomal RNA
Source: RNAcentral